UAAAAAAAUCAUGACUUGUGACGUCAUAAUGUUAAAGCAAUUAUAUUACAGUGCAGCGCUUACGGCUAUUAUAUGUAACUUGACAAAAACAUUGUAAAUUUACUAGUAAAAAAAGAUUUGUUACAGUUAAUUUCAUUCAGCUAUGUGUGAUACAGGAUAUAUAAAAGCAAAUUCUGAUAACAUUCCUGAUGUUGAUAUAUUUAUGAUCACCGAUUUUUGAAAAAAUGACCUGCGGUUUAAUUCUGCCGAAGUUCGAGGUGUCAAGGCAUCGAGAGCAUCACGUGAAAGUUACGGCGACAAAGCUAUAGGUUAUGUUCAACUUCGUCGUAAAAAUGGCAUUUGUAUUGUAAAAGGACGUGUAUGUCCAGAACAUCGAGUUCGAAGUAAAGCUUAUUCUGUUACUUUAACAGUUAAUGAAAAGUUAAGAAAAGUUCAUGACAUUGAAUGCCAUGACUGUGCAGCUUCAGCAGGUGGUUGUAAACAUGCAUUAGCAUUACUCAUGUGGACCCAUAGCAGGAGUGAAGAUCCGACACCUACAGAAGUUGCUUGCUACUGGAAGAAGUCUCGAUUAUCAGGCAUAGGAACAGUAAUUAAAUAUAUUGAAGCUGAAAAAUUGACAAGAAAAACCUCUGCUACUUCAGUUGACAAUUUACCGGAAAAUAAUACAUUUUUACAGGAAGUCAUUGAAUUUGCCCAAAAUCAACAAAUUAACUCUCAAAUCGGACAGUUAAAUUUUGAUAUAGACUCCAAAAAAGCUUACAGUUUAUCGUUACAUCGACUUAUUUUUGAUUUUAAUAAAAAUGCUGAUUCGCAAGUUAAAAUUUUUUAGAAUUCGCUAAGACUGAAAUGAAAGAAGCUGUAUGUGCAGAAGCUGAACAACUAUCUAAACAGCAAAGUGAAUGUGCACUUUGGCAUGAACUUCGUUAUGGACGUAUAACUGCAUCAAAAUUUUAUGAAGCUGCUCAUUGUAAAACUAAUAAUGGCUCACUAGUUCAACAAAUUAUUGGUGUAAGUAAAGUUCAUGAAACAAAUGCUAUGGCACGAGGAAAAAAUCUAGAAAAGGAUGUAAUUGAAGUUUUGGAGAAAGAGUUGAAAGUACAAAUUACGCGUCCAGGGAUUUAUCUUGUACCUAGUCAUCCAGUCUUCGCAGCAUCUCCUGAUGGAGUUACUAGUAAUGCAAUUAUUGAGAUAAAAUGUCCCUCCAGUCAAAAAUCAUUGGACACUUUUUUGCCGAAAGGCAAAAUAAGCUUAAAGUGUAAUGCUCAAAUGCAACUACAGAUGUUAAUGACGGGUAAAAGAGAAGGUAUCUUUUGUGUUGCUGAUCCAAAUUUUGAAGAAAAUGAACAAAUUUAUGUUAAAAAAUUGAAAUAUGAUGAUGCACAUACACAAGCUCUCAUUAAUAAAUGUCUAGUAUUUUGGUCCAAAAAUAUAUUUCCAAAACUAUUAAAAUCUGUACAAACUUAAGCAUUCAGUAGUCUUAAUUAAUUAUUAAUCAUAAUAUUUUGAUGUUGGUUUACAAAUGCAAUUAAUAAAAAAUAUAUUACAUUAAAUGAAA
Molecule: long non-coding RNA, 1555 nt
Organism: Dalotia coriaria
Lineage: Eukaryota; Metazoa; Arthropoda; Insecta; Coleoptera; Staphylinidae
Exons: 3
Source: RefSeq, a predicted model, not a curated record